UUUUUCCUACGGGAGGCAGCAGUCGGGAAUAUUGCGCAAUGGAGGAAACUCUGACGCAGUGACGCCGCGUAUGGGAAGAAGGUUUUCGGAUUGUAAACCAUUGUCGUUAGGGAAGAAGAAGUGACAGUACCUAAGGAGGAAGCUCCGGCUAACUAUGUGCCAGCAGCCGCGGUAAUACAUAGGGAGCGAGCGUUAUCCGGAUUUAUUGGGUGUAAAGGGUGCGUAGGCGGGCUUUUAAGUCAGCGGUAAAAAUUCGGGGCUCAACCCCGUCCGGCUGUUGAAACUGGGGGCCUUGAGUGGGCGAG
RNAcentral lists this ribosomal RNA (305 nucleotides) under uncultured bacterium. RNAcentral describes it as "bacterial SSU rRNA". It matches the Rfam family "Bacterial small subunit ribosomal RNA", at positions 333 to 654 of the family's 1533-position model. The record is from RNAcentral.